GUGUUGCCUAAUCUAUGUAGGCCUAAAUCCCUGCGAGACUUAGUAAUUUUUUUUCCUUUUCAUCCAUUCUUCACAGUUCACACCAACACACGCGUAACUUAGCCAAAUCGGUGCCUCUCAGCUCUCACCACCAACACCAACACCAACACUCUGAUCUCGUCGUUAUCGAAGAAUCACUCCGUGCCUCUCACAACCCAAAUACAUUUCGCCGUCGUCGCACCAACCACUCGAGAUCCAUCGGUGUCGCCACUCCAGAACCGCAGCUCCUCUUCCACACUCACCGUUCCUCUUCCCAACUCGAUGCUAACCACUCAAGAACCAUCAAUCGUCAGCAUUGGUCGUCAUCAGCAUCGUCAGCUUUGGUCGUUAGAAUCGUCAGCACCAACCACUCGACGCUAAUCCCAAAUAUGUUUCGCUGCGUGCUCACAAUUUAGGGUUCUAAAAUUUCAGUGGGUUAGGGUUUCGAUUUUAGGGAUUUCAAUUUGGGGGUUUGGGAAUGUUGCAUACUGUGAAAGUUUCUAAAUGUGAUACUGUCUUGCUUCCUUGGAAGAAUCUUUCUCUUCAGCGCAUGUUUGUAGUUUUGACUGACAAGGAGCAACUUCCAUGGCUGUAUCUGGGUGCCUGUAACUUGGUUUCUGGGUUAUCAAUGGGAUACAAAAUAAUGAAACAAGUUCAUGAAAAUUAACUAAGAAAAAGGAGUGAUAAAAAAGUUGAGUUUGCAAUGCAAUCCCUUCUAGGCUAUUAGCCUUUGUGGUAAACAGGUUUCAAACUACAAUGCAAUCAAAAAAUUAAGAGCUGUUUAUAUUUGCUUCUUCUUUUGGAAUUUGAAAAAUCUCAAUAAAAGACCAGCUUGAUGCAAUUUGGGCUAAGGCCUGUCAUCCAUUGUUACUAUUGUGGGUAGAUUUUUCAGUUCUCACAAGGGCAAGGAGCUUGAACUUUCUUAUUCAUUAUUUUUGCUAAAUACUUGUGAUAUCAGGUUUUGAUUUUAAGCCAAUACUAAAAGUAUUCAAAUUUUGUGCUAUCUGAGACCACCUGCUCAAAUUUAAGUUGCUCCUGGUUAUGAUAUGUGUGAUAAUAAUUGGUUGGACUAAAGAGUAGGAUAAUUAUAUGCUUAUAUCAAAAUGUUCUAUUUAAAUAUUUCAUUUAAACAAUUUUGGCAUUUAACUUAAUUUUUUCUGAUCCUCUUUCCCACUUUUUUUCCCUCCUCACUUAUUGUAGGAUGUGAUUGUUUCAUUUCUUUUGUAGGGUUUUCAAGAAGAAUGUUCCUCUUUUGUUAAAGGGAGAGACUAAGCAUCAAAUUCUAAACAGUAUUAUUAAGGACUUGUUAAAGUAAGUAAUCAAACAAUUUCUCCUAGUUCUGUUCACAUUGAUAAUUUGGAUAAGUUAAAGUAAGUAAUUUCCUUAGAUUUCUCCCGGUUCUGUUCACAUUGAUAAUUUGGAUAAGGUGGGCUUUUUUUAGCCCUUUUAUUCUGUUUCUUCUAAACUUCCAACUUUGGUUAAUAAGGCUAAUUUCUUCUUAUUAACUUAUAUUUUUCUGGCCUUGAUCAGAACUGUACUUUUAGUUUAUGGCUUGUUCAUUAUUUCAGAUACUGCACUUAUUUAAUUGAUACAUUUUAUUUAUUUAAUUGCUCUAUAGAGAUAACCAAUGUGUAUUAGGUUCAAAAAUUGUCUCUCAUGAUUGACACUUUUGCUUCGGUUUUUCUACCUUAUUCAUAAUUUUUCUAUAUGCAUAUCUAUUAUUGUUGAAAUAAUUUGCGUAUCCUGAAUGCUCAAUACAUGUGAAACAGUUUCUGCAAAUUGAUUUAUGAAAAUACACAUUGAAAAAUAGUGGUUUUGCAUAAUUCUAUGUCUUUCAAGUGGGAUUGAACAGAUUAUACACACCUAAUUAAUUUUCUUACAAAACCUGAAAAUUCAUACACACCUAAUUAAUAGUGAUUUUUCCAUCAAAUAUUAGCAUGCUGUUACUAUAUAUUUAAUACUAACAAUACACAGAAUCAACUUAUAUAUAAUUAGAAGUUUGUUACAUUAGAUAUUUCUUUUACUGCUAAAAAAGAUUUGGAUUCUGAAUUGGAUUAACUCCACUUGAUGAAAAAGGGUUGAGCUGAGAACUUGAGAUAUACAAAAUACCUGCUUUUCAUUUGAUGAAAGCAGUUAUUUGAAAUGCAUAAAAAGUUCACUAUGUAUUGCCCAGAUAACUGACACAUUUUGUCGCUAUUUUCUUCAUCUUUCAAUGUAUUGCCGCUAUGUUAUAUCAUGCAUCACACUACUUUGUAUGCUGAAUUCUUUUGAUGCUACAUUAGUAUCUUUUGUGAGACCUGCAUCCAAUGUAUCAUUAGGAGCCCUGCAUAAUUCUUUGUCUUGUCCUUAGUUCUUAUCCUCAUUUGCAUGUGGGUACCAUUGGAAGUUUUAUUUUCAGGGACUCUUAUAUGAAGCUAAUUUAAUUGAUUUACCUUUAUUUUUUUACUAGGUGAAUUUUUUUAUGACUAAAGUUAUUCAUAUUGGAAAAAUAGUGUAUCUGCUAGAUGAGCUAUAUGCUGCUGUCACUGACAGCUUGCUUGUAUUGAAGCUCCAUUAAUAAUUUUAAAUACUGUUAAUUUCAAGAAUUUUAAAUAAUGAACUAUAUACCUUUACCCCGAAAAAAACCAGAAUUUAUCAAUAACUUGCACCAAUAAUACAUAAUAUUGACUAAUAUUAUUAGAAAGUUGACUUUAUUUUUUGUUUGCAUGGAUCAAAAUUGAAGGCAGAAGUUUUUGGUUAAGGUCUUCCAAGCAGAUUUUAUCAAAAUCUUGAUCGUGUCAUGGCAAGGAUAAUAAUGAAGAUUAAGCGGAUUAUUAUUGUGGUUUAUUGGCUAAGAUAGAGUAGUGUUAGGAAUGGAUACAUGUAUGGUUGACUAAGACUUUUAUUAGAAGAUACUUAUGUAGGAUAUGUUUUUUGUAGAGUAUUAGUAGUAAAUUUUAAGUGGUAUCAUGGUUAUUUUGAUA
Non-coding RNA from Arachis ipaensis, 2981 nucleotides. The record is from RefSeq and is a predicted model, not a curated record. NCBI's taxonomy places the organism in Eukaryota, Viridiplantae, Streptophyta, Magnoliopsida, Fabales, Fabaceae.